This 5921-nucleotide ribosomal RNA is filed under the name Triticum aestivum (bread wheat). RNAcentral describes it as "partial small subunit ribosomal RNA". Lineage: Eukaryota; Viridiplantae; Streptophyta; Magnoliopsida; Poales; Poaceae. The record is from RNAcentral.
GGCCUGUUUUCUGGACCCAAGCCCGGCGCGAACAUAUAAAAUCCCGUCGGGCUUCGGGCCAGCCCGGCCCGACCUUCAGAAAAGUGCAAAAAUGACGGGCCUGGGCCCGGCCCGGCCCAGCCAUCGGGCUCAAAAUCUAGGCCCGAGCCCGGCUCGGGAGUAGCAUCGGGCCGGGCCGGGUCGGGAUUUUUCGAGUCGGGUCGGGCCGGGAUUCCCAUGGCCAGGUAUAAUGGCUUAUAGAUACAUAUCAGAAAUCUAUUGGUAGUUUACAUGUACUUUGUACACACUCCAACACAAUAAAACACAUACGAGACAUAAGGUUUUGUCUCUUCAGAGAGCACAAACCUGGGCGAAUUUUGUGUCCCUGGUAUCAUCGUCCCAUGAAGCCUAAUUUAGCAUCCCUACCAGGAGGUAUGCCAGAUUUAGCUCCGACACAGACAUGUAUGGAGCACGCAUCUGCCCAGCCGUGCUAGCUGUCUAAUUGCCCGCGAUCCAUAAAGUAGUUGGAUCCUGCAUGAGGCCACAACAAGUUUUAGGUUUUAGUUGCAGAAACAUACUCGGUCAUAGGUUCUGAAACUUAUAAAUUUUUCGGACGUUCUCACCAAGUUCCGAAGUUGAAACUAAAAAAUUAUGAUUUUGUUGGUCACAGGUUCUGAAACUUAUAAUUUUAUCGAUCUCUUGUACAAAUUUUCAGAAAAUGAAAGUUAACAAAAUUUUAAAAACUCAUCAAAAUGUCUUCAAAAUGGAUCUAAUUUGAAAGCCCUAGUCACCAGAAACAUGAAUAUGCAAACGAAACUUAAUUUAAAAUUUUGGUUCAAAAGAUAUGAAAGAUUGUAAAUAGAAAGUCAAAUGAAAAAGAGGGUUGCGUGCCCUCACCCAUGCGUGCUACAAAUCCUCUCCCCUCGCCUACCUAAGCUCAAACCCUUGCAACGCAUGCCACCUUCACAUCAACGACGACUAGACCUCCGCUCUGCUGACUUCCCUAGCAUGCGGCACCGCCACCAGCCCACCACCACUGGCCACCCUUGCGCAUGCCCAGUAACCACCGCAUCCUCUUCUAUGUAGACUUUGGGCGGUCACGAUCUACCAGGUGGUGGCCGGCCCCUAGCCAUGUCGCCCAAUCACUCUCGCCAACUCGUUGCCAUUCAAACAAUGCAUGUGCACCACUAGCCACCCUUGCGCAUGCCCAGUAGCCACCGCAUCCUCUUCUAUGUAGACUCUGGGCGGUCACGAUCUACCAGGUGGUGGCCGGCCCCUAGCCGUGUCGCCCAAUCACUCUCGCCAACUCGUUGCCAUUCAAACAAUACAUGUGCAUGCCAUGAAAAGUUGGUUGUUUAGGCCUCAAGAAAAAUCUUUUUUUCACAUGUACUUCAUUACUACUUUUACUGCAAGAAUAAUUUAUCUUCUUAAGACAUGUUCUACUGGUGAAUCGGUUUAAAACUUAGACAUGUUUUCAUGCCCUUAACUCUUGAUAAUUGCAUCUUAUAUUUAAAUCGGCUACGUAUGUUUUUGUUCAUCUAUGCAUAUAUUUUUCCGAAAAGGAGGUUGAACCCUGACCUCUGCACUAUGCACACUUUAUGAACAGAAUAUAUUUUCUCAAGAUAGUUUAGAUAAAAAGUAUCCCCGCAACCUACAAGCUUACAUGUAUAUAUUAUAACUGAUGUGUGAAAUAGAUCAAUUUCAUAUCACUGACCUACACAAAUAAGUUAUGUCCGACUCCGUCUACUGCUUAUGGUAUGGUACAUGGCGUACAUUAUUCCUUCACCCACUUUCCCACCCAUAUUAACAUCCACUCGCCUAUAUAAACUCCCCACUUGUUUGAUCAUGAAUUUUAUAUUCUACACUUCACGCUUACACCUUAGCAUGAACACAAUAGGUUUUCUUACACAUCACAAAAAUUAGAUGAUUAGUUAUAAGAGAGUGUCAAUGUUAUAUAUUCAUUUAAUGCUUAAAAUAGCGGUUCCCGGUCAAGAACAUGGCGAAGAGCUCUGACAAUGGAAGGCAUCGGGAUAAAUGAUAUGUUAGAGGGCGAAAAAAUGAGCAAACGAAAUGACAACUCGUUCAGAAUUCCAUGCCCAUAUAGUAUGAUAUUACGAUAUGUUAGGAUCGUCGAUAGACUCAUGCCUUGGCUUUCUGACAUUGCUCCUAGUUGCAUCGAUGACACAUGUACAACAGCAGACAAACGAUCAUCAUGCCAUGGAUAUUUUUGGUCAUAUUUGUGGCCUUUUUUCAGGACUCGAGAAAUUGAUAGGUCUGCCGACCGUGACUGUAAUACAUCCAUUUGUGUUUCUGAUGCCUUGUUAACUGGCUUCUUCUAAAAAAUUAUAAUAAUCCAUUGCUUAUUCUCGUUAUUAAACAGCAUUAUUUUUAAAUAAAAAUCAGUUUCCAUUUCUCGUGGGAGAAUACGGAAGCCAACGGAGCAGUGGAGGCGAGAGAGCUCAGCCCCAAGGGAGGAGAGGCAGCUGAGGCGCCACGUGUACCCAGCCGCUACCUCUUCCUCUUCCCCACCCAAACUCGUGAUACUGCUGUGUGCGCCACCGGCAACGAGACCCCCGGCCUAGAUGGCUUCCUCCAUGUUGGCCUCCCCGGCACCUCGCCCUCCCGCACGCGGCAACCGCCACCCUCGCACGUGCCCAGUAGCUGCCGCCGCCGCUGCAGUGCCGUGUCGUGCUGUCUCGGCGCCGCGGCGUGCUGCCGGGUGGUGGCCGCCCCCGCCGGCCCCUCGCUAGCUGGAUACGUGUUCGACGCCAUUUUGGCGGAUUUUUGUUAUGAAAUAUAAAAAAAAAUGGUGUCAAUAUGUAUGUGCAAGCAUGAAUAUGACCAAGAAUAAUAUGUUGAUAUUCAUCAAAGAGAGUCUUCAAGACCACGGAGCAGUGAUUAUUUAUGUCCACACAUACUUGACCUAAUCAACCUGAUUACCUAGCAUCCAGUUUGUACAUAGGCAUGCAAAAGAGUUAUGCACGGGCACAUCUCACGUACAAGUUAUGAUUAAGAUGGAGAUCCUAUGCGUGCAUGUGGCUAGCAACGAGCUAGUUGGCUCUGGACUAGCCAUGCAGUCCGAUCAGGCCAGGCCACUACGUGCCAGCCGCGACCGUGUGCAGCUCUAGCUGCUGCACCGCACGCACAAGAGAUAAGUUUCAUCAAAAGAGAUAACGAGCUUAUCAUCUCCAUAAGAAUAGGACCUGCCGAACAACUCUUCCGCGGCGCCCGUGCAGCUCGUUCAUAUCCAUUUCCGUAGGACCCUCGCCUAUAAAAGGCUGUGCAGAGCACACUGGGGAGGAGCGAAGUUGAAGGGGAGACACGCGCCCGUGGCGGCGGCGUUGGGGAGAACCCGGAGGCAAAAGCGAUCAGAUCGUACAUGAUCCCAUGAGAUCUCAAAGGUAGACGCUUCAGCGAGCCAAGGUGCGAGGUCGUGAACGACGCGCCCUAUCAGGAGAUGUACGCAGUCCGUGGCAGUGGUGGCGACAGCGGCAGCAACGGCGCGGAACCGUGGAGAACACAGCCGAUCGAUCACGAUGCACUUCUUCUUACUUCAUGGUUUAUCUAUAUAUACAUAUAUCUCGUUCUUUCCACUCCUAAUCUCUCAGGUGACGCAAGGCCGGGAAGUUGCGUCGCCAGCGGGGGCGCACACUUGGCCGCUUUAUAUGGACUUGUCCAAGCUAGCUCCACGAAAAUCAUCAUCUGGAGACAUCUUAUGCGGUAUGUACAUAUAUCUCGUUCUCUCCAUCCCUAAUCUUUCAGGUAAUCGACACGGAAAAAAGCAGCAAGAGGAGACCUCAAGGCCAUCGGGAGAUUACCCCGGGAGGAACCGAGCCAAGAGGAGACGCGCCUGCGGUGGCUGCGUCGAGGAUGUGACGACGCGUCGGCGGCAGCGCGCACGGCCACCCCACAUACGCAUGGAGGCCAACACACGCCCAGUUGGAGAUGCUCCCAUGGCGGCGGCGGCGAGGAGAUCGCGAGGACGUGCCCAUGGCAAAGGCAUGCUCGCCGAGCAGCGCAUACACCCUGGUCGUCCGGCGGCUGCAGAUACACGAAGGAGCCCGCACAACUGGCCCUAGCACUCAAGGCGGCCGCGGGCGCCACCUAUGGCGCCUUCUUCGAUCGGCGUCUUCAUCCAUCUAGACCACCACAAGGCUGGCGGCGUGUAGCAUGACACCAACUCCACCUCGGCGGUGACAUCGGAGAGGCCACCGGCGUCCAGCCCGUCGCCAUCUAUACCACUACAACGAUGUCAAAGCCGCUGACCUAUAGCCCGGCGCCAUCUACACCAUAUGCCAGCAUCGGGCCUGUCGCCAUCUACACCACCGCGACAACGUCCAAGCUGCCGGCCUACAGCCCGGCGCCAUCUCCAUCCCGCCAUCAUCAACCUGCACCAUAGUUGAGAGCGGCAACACCUCACGCCCAAGAGCUGGACAGAUGAUAUUCACGUACACAGGAAGAAGAAGCUCCGAUGACAUCUCCAUGGAGUCAACAAGACACUCGGUGGCAGCGACGUAGUACACGCUACAACAAAGCUCAAGAUGGCAGCGACCAGGUGCGCGCCCAUGAAGAUUGCAGACGAGGCGCCGAGACUAAGCAUGCCGGCGUCGACGACGGACUUGCGUGCAUACGUACUAGAGACGGAGUAACACAUGCAUCUUUCAGGAGAACCCGUGUAGCCACGAGGAGGAGGCGGACAUCUAAGACCGCGCCAUCAUCUACCUCAACAAGGGAAGAUCAAAAUCACGGCAUCCAUCUUCUUCAAUAGCAUGCCUACUCACACCAUCUUCUCUUUACCUCUUUCUCUCUUUUUAUCCCUGUCAUUUCAGCCCAUCCAGAGUUGAGCGACUGAUAGGACUCAUUAUGGAGAUGAUGGCCGGAUGAUUAGAGCUCGCCCGGUGCCACCAAAGAAGACGGAGGAGGAGUUACCCAUCGUCUUGGCAUCUUUAUCAACCUCGCCAAUGUCAUCAUCACCGACAUCAGGCUCGACGGUCAUUCAACUGCAUCAACUCUUCAUCCGAUGAGGACGACGUUUGCAUCAAUGCGCCGUCAUACGCCUACAUCGACUUCAUACCCGGGGUCGACACCGUUUACCGCGCCACGACAUCGCAAUCUUCAUCAACUCUUUGUUUGGCGAGGAUGUCCUCUACCUCGGCGCCACCGAACUUCGACAUGAUGAUAUUGCCAUCUUCUUUGACUUACUUCCUGGCGAGGAUGCCGACUGUAUCGGCACGCUACCAUCCUUCUACACCAACCGUCUGCACUAAGUGGAGGUCAUCACCGUAACUGGGACGUCCCGAGCUCUACAUCGGCAAGCUCGUCAUCUUCAAGCGAGGCCGCAUGCCAGGCGGCGACACUCAAGUCUACUCCAACUUCUACAUCAACUCUUCAUCUGACGAGGCGAAGCCACUUCACCGACAUGUCUUCUUUCGAUGAAGCUACCCAUAUCUCGCUGUGCACCGACGAGGCGAAGGCAAGCCACCAUGUCCGACACCAACGAGGCGGACACAACCAGGCCGGGCACCGACGAGGCGAAGGCCACCCAUCUGUCUGAGCUGACGAAGCCAGACAUCUUCAUCAUUGGACAUCGACAAGCCGGAGGGAUAUUGCAAGCAUUGUCGAAGCGAGGGAUGUACCGCUCCACCCUUCUAAUCAUCAUCUCCAUCAUCUACACCGACCACUUGAAGAAGACGAGACUUGAAGACGACGAUCAUUGCAGCAGCUUAAUCGGAGGUGGUCCGCGACUUCGACUCACGGACGUAAUUAAUCGGGAGCCUUCCGAGGCCCCGUGAACCAGAACUUCACAAUCGCCCAAGUCAUAUCGGCCGCGCUAGCAGGCCAUGGAGCGCUUAUGUAAAGAGAUCAUGUAAUUUGUUUCUCCUAUUAGAGAUUAAUAACAUACAAGUUUGCCUAUGUUUUUUGUGUAUUUAGUACACUGGCAC